This 465-nucleotide ribosomal RNA is filed under the name uncultured bacterium. RNAcentral's name for it is "partial 16S ribosomal RNA". It matches the Rfam family "Bacterial small subunit ribosomal RNA", at positions 28 to 507 of the family's 1533-position model. The record is from RNAcentral.
GACGAACGCUGGCGGCGUGCUUAACACAUGCAAGUCGAACGGAAAGGCCCCUUUGGGGGUACUCGAGUGGCGAACGGGUGAGUAACACGUGAGUAACCUGCCCUUGACUUCGGGAUAACUACAGGAAACUGGGGCUAAUACCGGAUAGGAAUCCUUGCUGCAUGGUGGGGGUUGGAAAGCUUCGGCGGUUUUGGAUGGACUCGCGGCCUAUCAGCUUGUUGGUGGGGUAGUGGCUUACCAAGGCUUUGGCGGGUAGCCGGCCUGAGAGGGCGACCGGCCACAUUGGGACUGAGAUACGGCCCAGACUCCUACGGGGGGCAGCAGUGGGGAAUAUUGCACCAUGGGCGGGAGCCUGAUGCAGCAACGCCGCGUGCGGGAUGACGGCCUUCGGGUUGUAAACCGCUUUCAGCAGGGGCGAAGCUUGUGGUGACGGUACCUGCAGAAGAAGCACCGGCUAACUACGUG